Small nucleolar RNA from Malania oleifera, 106 nucleotides. The record is from RefSeq and is a predicted model, not a curated record. NCBI's taxonomy places the organism in Eukaryota, Viridiplantae, Streptophyta, Magnoliopsida, Santalales, Ximeniaceae.
AACCCAUGAUGAGGACGCAUGCUGACCCGCUCUUUAAAUCUUUCCCAUCUUACAUGAAAGAUCUCAUCAGCUUUCUGCAUAAAUUGACUGAUUUGUUCCUGCAAAU